AGAGAGAGAGAGAGAAGCGGGGGUCAGGCUGGGCGCCCCGAGCCGCCCCGGCGGGCGCUGCGGAGGUUCACCCAGCCCGCCGUGCCCCGACGGUGGCCGGAGCUGGGGGUGGUUACCGAGGCAGCAGCAGAGUGCCAGAGUGGAAACGAUCUGUCUGUCCCGGAAAACCCUGCCGAGGUGCAGUGCAGCAGGGCUGCAUUGAAACCUGCAGGAAAUCCUUCGUUACCUGGAGAGCUGCGUGUGAGCAGCAGGGUCCUGAAGCUUCUUCUCCAAAUCUGGAAGAGUAGAGACAUGCAGUAAUACUCAUAUUUGUUGUCCUAAAACAGAGCAAUUGAAGGCUGUGGUUUCUUACGCAACGUCUCUCCAGCUUGCAGAGUGUGAUAAUGAAGGAGAUUAAUGUCAACUGAUUAAGAAGAGACCCUUAAACAUUAUGGAAUCAGUAUCAUAUCUGCACCACGUUCUGGUUUUAUUUAUUUAAAUUUACAUUAAGGAAACAUUGAG
Molecule: long non-coding RNA, 501 nt
Organism: Chroicocephalus ridibundus (black-headed gull)
Lineage: Eukaryota; Metazoa; Chordata; Aves; Charadriiformes; Laridae
Exons: 5
Source: RefSeq, a predicted model, not a curated record